GACGAACGCUGGCGGCGUGCUUAACACAUGCAAGUCGAACGGAAAGGCCCUGCUUUUGUGGGGUGCUCGAGUGGCGAACGGGUGAGUAACACGUGAGUAACCUGCCCUUGACUUUGGGAUAACUUCAGGAAACUGGGGCUAAUACCGGAUAGGAGCUCCUGCUGCAUGGUGGGGGUUGGAAAGUUUCGGCGGUUGGGGAUGGACUCGCGGCUUAUCAGCUUGUUGGUGGGGUAGUGGCUUACCAAGGCUUUGACGGGUAGUCGGCCUGAGAGGGUGACCGGCCACAUUGGGACUGAGAUACGGCCCAGACUCCUACGGGAGGCAGGAGUGGGGAGUAUUGCACAAUGGGCGGAAGCCUGAUGCAGCAACGCCGCGUGCGGGAUGACGGCCUUCGGGUUGUAAACCGAUUUCGCCUGUGACGAAGCGUGAGUGACGGUAAUGGAUAAAGAAGCACCGGCUAACUACGU
RNAcentral lists this ribosomal RNA (467 nucleotides) under uncultured bacterium. RNAcentral's name for it is "partial 16S ribosomal RNA". It matches the Rfam family "Bacterial small subunit ribosomal RNA", at positions 28 to 506 of the family's 1533-position model. The record is from RNAcentral.